This 251-nucleotide ribosomal RNA is filed under the name uncultured bacterium. Its description in RNAcentral is "partial 16S ribosomal RNA". It matches the Rfam family "Bacterial small subunit ribosomal RNA", at positions 524 to 776 of the family's 1533-position model. The record is from RNAcentral.
UACGUAGGGUGCGAGCGUUAAUCGGAAUUACUGGGCGUAAAGCGUGCGCAGGCGGUUCGUUGUGUCGGCGGUGAAAGCCCUCGGCUCAACUGAGGAAGUGCACCCGAAACUGGCGAGCUUGAGUACGAAAGAGGAUCGCGGAAUUCCCGGUGUAGAGGUGAAAUUCGUAGAUAUUGGGAAGAACACCGGUGGCGAAGGCGGCUCACUGGCUCGUUACUGACGCUCGGCACGACACGUGGGGAUCAAACAGG